AUGUACUACUUUGAUAAUCCUGAGAAAACCCCAUUCAAUUAUGUUAUGGGAGACACGUUGGAUCAACGUGAAUACUUUAGGGAUUAUUGCUUGACACAAAAAGGGAAACUAUUAUGGGAUCAAAUUUAUAUGUUGUAUUGGUAUGCCAGGCAACUAUGCUUGAGAUAUGAUUAUACUUGUUGCUCUAGGAUGAAGGCUCCACACCUUCCCUUUUCAUGCAAAUUUAAUGAUUAUAAAACCUUAGCUUCUUAUGCUAAUGGUAUAUAUGAUUACUAUGAUGUGGAACAAAUAGAAGAAUUUUUUGCUUUUUAUGGGUGCUUAUGA
Molecule: ribosomal RNA, 324 nt
Filed under: Triticum aestivum (bread wheat)
Lineage: Eukaryota; Viridiplantae; Streptophyta; Magnoliopsida; Poales; Poaceae
Description: partial small subunit ribosomal RNA
Source: RNAcentral